RNAcentral lists this ribosomal RNA (494 nucleotides) under uncultured bacterium. Its description in RNAcentral is "partial 16S ribosomal RNA". It matches the Rfam family "Bacterial small subunit ribosomal RNA", at positions 28 to 507 of the family's 1533-position model. The record is from RNAcentral.
GACGAACGCUGGCGGCGUGCUUAACACAUGCAAGUCGAACGGAAAGGCCUGCUUUCCCUUGUGGUUUUCGGGUACUCGAGUGGCGAAGGGGUGAGUAACACGUCAGUGUUCUGCACCCAACUUGGUUAUAAGCCUGGGAAACUGGGUCUAAUUCCCGAUAGGACUGCAGGGUGGAGCCUGUGGUGGAAAACGAUUUUCUAGUGGUUGGGGAUGCGCUCGCGGCGUAUCAGCUUGUUGGUGGGGUAAAGGCCUACAACGGCGGCGAGGGGUAGCCGGACUGGGAGGGUGGACGGCCAAACUGGGACUGGGUCACGGCUCCGACUCGAGCGGGCGGCAGGAGAGGGGAAUAUUGGAGAAUGGGCGGAAGGGUGAAGCAGCGAGUGCGCGUGGAGGAUGACGGCCUUCGGGUUGUAAGCUCCUUUCGAACGAGAGGAGGCCAACUGGUUGGAAGGGUGGUGACGGUAGUGGUAGAAGAAGCACCGGCUAACUACGUG